This 468-nucleotide ribosomal RNA is filed under the name uncultured bacterium. Its description in RNAcentral is "partial 16S ribosomal RNA". It matches the Rfam family "Bacterial small subunit ribosomal RNA", at positions 28 to 507 of the family's 1533-position model. The record is from RNAcentral.
GACGAACGCUGGCGGCGUGCUUAACACAUGCAGGUCGAACGGCAAGGCCCUGCUUUUGUGGGGUGCUCGAGUGGCGAACGGGUGAGUAACACGUGAGUAACCUGCCCUAGACUUUGGGAUAACUUCAGGAAACUGGGGCUAAUACCGUAUAGGAGCUCAUGCUGCAUGGUGGGGGUUGGAAAGUUUCGGCGGGUGGGGAUGGAUUAGCGGCUUAUCGGCUUGUUGGUUGGGUAGUGGAUUACCCAGGCUUUGACUGGUCGCCGGCACGGGAGGGUGGACGGCCACAAGGGGACUAAGGUACGGCCCAGUCGCGUACGGUGGGCAACAGGGGGAAAUAUUGCACAAUGGUCGGAAGCCUGAUGAAGCAACGCCGCGUUCGGGAUGACGGCCUGCGGGUUGUAAACCGCAUUCGCCUGUGACGAAGCGGGAGUGACGGUAAUGGGUAAAGAAGCACCGGCUAACUACGUG